GACGAACGCUGGCGGCGUGCCUAAUACAUGCCAGUAGAACGCACAGUUUAUACCGUAGCUUGCUACACCAUAAACUGUGAGUUGCGAACGGGUGAGUAACGCGUAGGUAACCUGCCUGGUAGCGGGGGAUAACUAUUGGAAACGAUAGCUAAUACCGCAUAAUAUUGGUUAUUGCAUGAUAAUUGAUUGAAAGAUGCUAUUGCAUCACUACCAGAUGGACCUGCGUUGUAUUAGCUAGUAGGUGAGGUAACGGCUCACCUAGGCGACGAUACAUAGCCGACCCGAGAGGGUGAUCGGCCACACUGGGACUGAGACACGGCCCAGACUCCUACGGGAGGCAGCAGUAGGGAAUCUUCGGCAAUGGACGAAAGUCUGACCGAGCAACGCCGCGUGAGUGAAGAAGGUUUUCGGAUCGUAAAGCUCUGUUGUAAGAGAAGAACGGGUGUGAGAGUGGAAAGUUCACACUGUGACGGUAUCUUACCAGAAAGGGACGGCUAACUACGUG
This 505-nucleotide ribosomal RNA is filed under the name uncultured bacterium. Its description in RNAcentral is "partial 16S ribosomal RNA". It matches the Rfam family "Bacterial small subunit ribosomal RNA", at positions 28 to 507 of the family's 1533-position model. The record is from RNAcentral.